GGAGAUGGGCAGACGCCACGGUCUAGCGAUUAGAGGAAGAGCCAGAGAAGAGGUGACACUGUUUUUCCUGGACCUUAAAGCAAAGACAGGAUUCACACAUGCAGCAGUGGUGGGAAAAUGCUACAGGUGCAGAAAAUGGGAAGUAGAGUUUGACUGGAGCCUCUGUGAGCCUUGCCCAGACUGGGGAGAGAAACAAUACUUUGUUCAUCUUCGAAUCUCUAGGAACUAGAAGACUAUCUAUGCUUCAUAAUAG
Long non-coding RNA from Lontra canadensis (Northern American river otter), 253 nucleotides. RefSeq lists it as uncharacterized. The transcript has 3 exons. Lineage: Eukaryota; Metazoa; Chordata; Mammalia; Carnivora; Mustelidae. The record is from RefSeq and is a predicted model, not a curated record.